CGCACCUUGCGCUCCUUGGUAUUCUGAGGAGCAUGCCUGUUUGAGUGUCAUGAAAUUCUCAACCUUUUUAAGCUUUUUGUUAAUGCUUAUUAAGGCUUGGAUUCUGGGAGUUUGCUGGCUUUUUAUUGAGUUAGCUCUUCUUAAAUACAUUAGCAAAGAUCACCGCUGAAUCAAUCUUUGAUAUGAUAAUUAUAUAUCCAUAUUAUUGAUGUUCAAGGAAAAGAUAUAGCUUCCAACCGUCUUCAGAGACAGUCUGAUAUAUUAUUUUGACCUCAAAUCAGGUAGGACUACCCGCUGAACUUAA
Molecule: unclassified non-coding RNA, 304 nt
Filed under: Entoloma azureosquamulosum
Lineage: Eukaryota; Fungi; Basidiomycota; Agaricomycetes; Agaricales; Entolomataceae
Description: partial contains 5.8S ribosomal RNA, internal transcribed spacer 2, and large subunit ribosomal RNA
Source: RNAcentral